GAGGAGGGCAGCAGAGCCCAGAGGGCACUUGUUUGUAUCUUUCCCAGGUGUGGGCUGUGCUUGCGGGGCAGAUGGGGGGCGGGCCAGCACAUGCCAAGUCCCAGGGCGGCAGCAGGGACUCCGGCCAGUUUCGCCACUGGAUCCUGGCAGCCUGACCUAGUGGCCGCAGCGACUCUGAAGAAGUCAGCACACGAGGGCCACGUGAGUGUGCAUAAGGGGUACAAGUGUGGUCUCUGAAAGCCAGUGGAAAGUUGACGAUUGGCUCACUGAACACGGAGAGGUGCCCCAGGUCCCUUUCCUGCAUCCUGUGUACGAUGGAUCCAGUAAAGAGCGAGGCACCGCUCUCGGGCUCAUGUGUGGCCGUCUUCUUGGUGGAAAGGAAAUAGCUUUGGUUACAUCAGGGAAGACUUCAAACUUCCCUUCUCCAGUGCUUUCCAAUGUUUUGAUGUUUCAUAUUCUUGGUUUCCAAACA
This is a long non-coding RNA of Nycticebus coucang (slow loris), 472 nucleotides long. RefSeq lists it as uncharacterized. The record is from RefSeq and is a predicted model, not a curated record. Lineage: Eukaryota; Metazoa; Chordata; Mammalia; Primates; Lorisidae. The transcript is spliced from 3 exons.